Molecule: long non-coding RNA, 6785 nt
Filed under: Solanum lycopersicum (tomato)
Lineage: Eukaryota; Viridiplantae; Streptophyta; Magnoliopsida; Solanales; Solanaceae
Description: long non-coding RNA (SLYC_LNC000559)
Source: RNAcentral
AUUAUUGCCUUUUCAUGCCACUCUAUGACUAUAUCUACGAUACAGUGGACAAGUCAUCGGACACAUUGUAUGAGAAGUCACUUGAGAGAGAAGCUGAAGUGCCAGAUGUGGUGCACCUUACACAUCUAACAACCCUAGAAUCCAUCUACCAUCUUCGAAUAGGAUUUGCAUCGCUGGCCUCAAAGCCUCACGCCUCUAAGUGGUAUAUGUUGUUCAUGUGGCCCGUCACACUAUGGUCAAUAAUGCUUGCAUGGAUUUAUGAUUACACAUUUGUUGUUGAGAGAAACUUGUUCAAGAAUCUCAAAUUACAAACUUGGGCUAUUCCAAAGUAUCGCGUACAAGUAAUUAAGCUAUCAUUAUUGAAGAUUGGGUUACAUUUUGCAGGUCUUUUUUUUAAAGGGAUUAGUAAUUUGACUUGUUUUUUGAUUUCGUUGCAGUACUUUAUGCAAUGGCAAAGAGAGAGUAUUAACAAUAUGAUCGAGAAAGCCAUCAUUGAAGCAGAUCAAAAAGGCAUAAAAGUGUUGAGCCUUGGACUCUUAAAUCAGGCAAGUCAAAAUAUAUGUCUAAAAAGCCUUAUAAUACCCAUCCUUAUUUAUCUAUGAGAACAAUGCACAAUCUAUUCUUAACUAGUAAUUAUCUUGCAGGCUUAUAGCAAAAUGUUCCGUAAGCAAUCUCAACAUAUUGUUAUUAUGGAGAAAAAGAGUUUAAAAAAAUUCACCCCUCAUCCUAUAUCAAUGUUUGUAGGUUGAACCAAUUAAAGAGGGUCAGUUCAUAUUUAUGCUUUAUUUCAAAUGUAACUUUCCAGGAAGAGCAACUGAAUAGUAACGGAGAACUUUACCUAAGGAGGCAUCCUCAGUUGAAAGUGAAGGUGGUAGAUGGAAGUAGCUUAGCGGUUGCUGUGGUCCUAAACUCCAUUCCUGAAGGAACUUCCCAAGUUGUCCUUCGAGGUAGCUUGUCCAAAGUUGCUAACUCCAUUGCCCUUGCCUUGUGCCAAGGAGAAAUUCAGGUAUAUUUGACUAUUAAUCUCCUACAUCAUUUUUGGUUUUAUCUAAUUCAACAUAAUUUUCAAUAUAUAGGUUGUCACGUUAAACAAAGACGAUUACAAGAGACUUAAAGCAAAACUUACCCCUGAGGCUGCAAUUAAUUUAGUCCUCUCGAAAUCUUAUAAUGUUUCAAAGGUAUAAACCAAAAUUACCAUUUAUAACAUUUCCUUGCACCUCCCCCUCCCUCCUAGAUCUCCUAACCCAAAGUUUUAUCAUUAUGUUGAGGUUUGAACCAUUCUGGGUUUAAAAAGAGGCUCUUGAUUGAAAUAUUAUAUUGCAGACAUGGCUAGUAGGGGAUGGAUUGAGUGAUGAUGAGCAGUUGAAAGUACCAAAAGGAACACUAUUUAUUCCCUUCUCACAAUUUCCAGUAAGAGAAGUUCGCAAGGACUGCUUCUAUUUCAACACACCAGCUAUGAUUGCUCCAAAGCAUCUUGAAAAUGUAGACUCUUGUGAGGUUAGAAAAGAUCCUUUAGUGUUAUCAAUUUCUCUAUACUAAUUUGACGGCUUUUCAGAAUCAAAGAAAUUCAUGAGUGAGUUUGUUUUAAUUCUAGAACUGGCUACCAAGAAGAGUGAUGAGUGCGUGGAGAAUAGCUGGAAUUGUGCAUGCAUUGGAAGGUUGGAAUGAGCAUGAUUGUGGUGACACGAUGAUUGAUGUUGAAAAAGUGUGGAAAGCUAGUCUCAGUCAUGGUUUUUGCUCAUUAACUAAGAUUUCUGCUGCUUAAUCAAAGGGCUAAAAUUAUACUACUACUAUAGAUAAACUGCUGGUUCUAUUAUUGAAUCUGGGAUCUACUGUAUUUUGUUGCUCAAUAAAAUUUACCAUUUCGUUGGGUUAACACAAGUAAGCACAAUAUUAGCCUCUACUAGAACAUAUAAUCGGUAGGUUUGAGAUACGUAUCUAACUAAGAAUAGGGUUUAAGACCACCUACUCCAUUGAGCUAUCCCCCUUCCCGGGUCCAUGCUCCCAAGCCUACCCCUACCGACAUUGUGACAAUUGGUUACAUUAAUGAGCUCUACUAGCAUAAUCGAAAAUCAUAUAAUCCCAAAACAUCGACUGUGAUGAACUUACAAUUUCGAAUUAAAUUCAUAACAAAACCAAUGAAAAAUAUUCAAAACGAAAUAAAAUGAAGAGAACAGAAACAAAUAAACCAAAUCACACAUAAUUUCAAGAGGAAACUAUUUGCAUACAAAAUGCAGGCCAAAAAGAAGCUUAAGUUGAUGAAGCUUACCAGAAAUGGGAGAAAACGGGCAAAUUUGCACGGAACCAGACGGCCUUUACACAGAGAAGAGCGAUAAAGGAUCAACAAAAAUUUGAAACUGGAGAACACGAAUGCAAUUUUCUAUGGUUAUGCAGGAAAAAAAUAGCAAUUUGGGUACUUGAUUUAUUAUCAUAUUCCUAUUUUAGUCCCGUGUUAUUAAUCUAAAUGCUUUAGCGAUCUACUAACCUGAUGUUUAUAUCAAGUCAAUACAUGAAUUCAUGUAUUAAGUUCAUAGUUUAUUUUACUUUAUUAAAUCAUGUAAUAAUAUAUUUUAUAUUAGUUUGAUUAAACACUGAUGCAAGUAAGUUUUCUUUUCCAAAUAUUUGAUCCUUGUACUUAACAGAAGGUAACCGAAGUUAGAAAUUUAAUAAAAUUAUUAUUUGAAAAUGACAUAAUAUAUAAACUGUUCAUUUAAUUUAACUUAAUUUUAUAUCGUAUUUAUGCCCUUCAACUUUGGAUAUACAUACAUAAGUAAAUAUUUAAACUUGUAUACAUGAGUCAUAUGUUGCAUAUUGUUAUGUAACAUAUCACAUACGAUUUGUUCAACUUUACACAAAUUUAAGUGUCUAUUUAUGCAUACAAAAAGUUAAAAGAAUAUAAAUAUGAAAUGAGAUCAAAUUAAAAGGUAUAUUAUUAUGUAUUAUGCAGGUAAAAAACAUACUGAUUUUAUUUUAUUUUAUUUUAUACCUAAAACAAAUAAAAAUGAAUUCUGUAACUGAAUUAUCACUCGCUAAUUUAGGAGGAUAAAUUUCAUACAACAAUGGUGCUAUGUAUAUGAUUUUGCUAAUUUCACGGUGGUGCAGCAACAACCAACCAGAAGCUAAUGUUAAAAUAUCUUACAAUGUAAACAUCUCAUUAUAUCAUUUUUGUUAAAUUAUGGCCAAAUGUUUAUGACCAAAAGGAUUUUUCCGUCAAAUAAUCUAACUUUCCACGCAAACACACAAUUAAUGUUCGCAUAAUCUAUAUAGAGUUAGGUGGGACUCAUAUAGUUGCUUAUAUCUAUUUCUACGUCCUAUCAAGAAAAUUGAACAGUAAUUAUUGACAAAAGUCAUUUUCCAUAGAAGAAAUAUUGAAAUUAAGAAGGAAAGAUGAUCUUUUAAGAUAAUAAUUUUGAGCCAUUAUACGUGAAAUGAAUUUAUUUAAUUUUUUAUAUAAUAUAAGAAAAAAAAUUAAUUUUGUGAUUUUAAAUUAACAUUAUGUCAAUUGUUAAAUGUAACAAAAGAAAUAUUUUUUUAAUUUGUGGUCUUAAACAUUACACAAUCCGAAGUUAAAGUAUUGCUAAAAAAAAAGGAAAGAAUCAUUACGAAUGGAGUAUAUAAUAUGCGAUAUAAAAAAAAGUAAGAUCUUGCGCUAUGAAAUCAGCUUGAAAAUAAUUACACGUAAGUUGUCGUUAUAUAGUGAAAUUAGUAACUUAAUUAACGCAAGUUCUUGUUAUUAGGGAUGAAAAUGGAAUAGAGCGGCAAAGUGAGUUUAAGAUUAUCCGGGGUGGAGCGGGACGAAUUUAAAGUUGGGGGGCGGGAGGGAUGCGGGAUCGGUUGAAGUUGAUUCUUUUUUGAAAAUUAGUGCAGGGUGAGUUACAUAUAUAUGUGAUUUCAUGUGGGUUUAAAUUUACUAUUAACUUUUUACAUAUAAAAGUGAUAGAAUAUUAUUUAUUAAGAUAAUUUCUUUAAAACAUUUAUAUAUUCAAUAUGCUAAAUGAAAAUGGUUCAAUAAAAAAUAAUACAAUUUCUUACAUGUUUUUCAAUUGACGUUUGAAAAAUGAAUUUAAAGUCAUUAUCAAUUAAACUAAUAUAACUUAAUGAAAAAUAAAUUUAUUUUUAGAAAUGUAAUUUUUAGUAUCAAACUUAAUUAAAAAAAGAAAAUAUUAUAAAAAUUAUGUAGGACGGGUUUAUAUGAGGCGGGUUGAAAAUUAAAAAAAAAAUUAUUAUUAUGGACCGAGUAAAAUUUUUACGGAUUUAGCUCAGCCUGCCCCCUCCCGCCCCAUUGCCAUCCUACUUGCUAUAACAGAAAGGCACAUGUAGCUGCAUAGACGUUGGAGUACUUUAAUUUUAAUAGGGUAAAUACGAACUAUAUAUUUAUAUGUGCAUGCUCCUAAUAUAUAGGUUUAGUAGAUUCUAUAUUACGGAUUAAGCUUAACCCAUCUUCGCUCCAUUGUCAUCUCUACUUGCUAUAACAGGAAGGUACAUGUAGAUAAAUCGAGUUUGAAGUAGUUUAAUUAUAAUAGGGUAAAUAGGAAAUAUAUAUAUAUAUAUAUAUAUAUAUAUAUAUAUAUAUAUAUAUAUAUAUAUGCGCGCGUGUAUGCCCCUAAUAUAUACAUAUAGUAGAAUUCUAUACGUAUAUAAAGGCCGUUGAAGCAAAAGCUUUUACACAAAAGUUGUGGCAAAGCUAGAAGCACUUGAACAAAACAAUGGCAAAUAAACCUGGCAUUCUCACUAACUGUCCAUGGACACGUUUUGGCGACUUCAAGGUAUACUUUUCUUACUAUCAUUUUAUGGUAAAAAAUUGCAGGGCAGAAGCUACGAGAACCAGUAACUUUGAUCCAAACUUAGUAUGUUUAUUAAGAAAUCCAGUAAAUAAGUACAUUAACAAAUAUCAGAAUCCAUAAACUUAAAGAUCAUGAUCCAAUAUGAUUACUCUAGUAAUGGUACACACUUAACAAUUAUCAGAAUCCAUAUAUACUCUUUUCUACUAUCAUUUAUGGCAAAAAGAUAUCACUAAUUAGCGCAACUCUAUAGUAAACGUACCACGUACAUAUUACAACGUCACUUGUGCUAACAUUUUUUAUUUUUCAAAAAUGAUUUGUUGGGAUGAUGAAGUACUUGGUAUUGGCACCAUUUGCGUGUCACAGCAUAUACACAUUCUUCAUGAGCAAAGAUGAAAGUGAGAGGGACUUGUUCUACAUACUCCUACUCCCAUUAACUCUCUUCAGAAUGGUUCACUACCAGACAUGGAUAUCUUUCUCCCGCUACAGGACUGCAAACGGGAAUAAUCGAAUUCUUGAUAAAAGCAUCGAAUUUGAUCAAGUUGACAGAGAAAGCAACUGGUAGGUACCUUCAUUUUUCACUUUUUGUAGAUACAAGGGAUUUAACAAAACGAAAGGACAAUGCAAAAUCAAAUGAUUGUUUUGUAGGGAUGAUGAGAUCAUACUUUUUGGGUUGGUAUAUUAUAUCGGAUACCUGAUUCUGGAACAAGCUCAUCACAUGUCUAUGUGGAGGACCGAUGGGAUCGUUAUAACUGCCUUGCUUCAUAUUGGUCCUGUAGAGUUCCUCUAUUAUUGGCUACACAGAGCUCUGCAUCAUCAUUUUCUCUACUCUCGAUACCAUUCGCAUCACCACUCCUCCAUUGUUACUGAGCCAAUCAGUGGUAAUUUGUCUUCAAAAUUGUUUUCCAUCACUUUGAUUAAUUAGAUCUGAUCAAUCCUGGAGAAGAUGCAAGUGACCAUGUUAGUUCUUCUUUAACUAAUUUGAAAUUGAUCUUCGGUAAGUAGUAGUUGCAAUUUUGAAGAAGAAAAAAUCUAAAAAAGUAACUCAGUUAUAUACUAUUGUCAAGUCAUACAGUAAGUCACAUGGCAUAACUAACGGGGGAUAUAUAGUGCAAUUUUACCAAUCAAUUACCAACUUGUAUGGUUUACAAAGUUAUUUUUAUUUUAUUUUUGGCAGCUGUAGUUCAUCCCUUUGUUGAGAUACUAGCAUAUUAUACACUCUUUGGCUUACCUGUAUUCACAACAUUAUUCACCGGGACUGCUUCUAUAGCUUCAAUUGGUGCUUAUAUCAUCUAUAUUGAUUUCAUGAACCUCAUGGGCCAUUGCAACUUCGAGCUAAUUCCUAAGUGGAUGUUCUCUGUCUUUCCCCCUCUCAAGUACUUCAUGUAUACCCCCUCGUGAGUUAAAAAUUCUUGCCCUGUAUUUUGAAUUUUUUUCUCCGCGAUGCUUUAUACAACAAUGUCUCUAAUUAGACAGUUAUUAUUAAACUUUAGCUACUCGGGGAAAUAAAUAGAGACAAUGGAAAUUAAUGUUUCUUUCAAAUGAACUUUUUCCUAUAGUCAGUAAUAACUGAAGCUCUGAAUUUGUGAUUAUUUAUUCUAUUACCGUUAAUAUCAAUGUUUUGAUGGCACAGGUACCACUCACUACAUCACACCCAAUUCAGAACAAAUUAUUGCCUUUUCAUGCCACUCUAUGACUAUAUCUACGAUACAGUGGACAAGUCAUCGGACACAUUGUAUGAGAAGUCACUUGAGAGAGAAGCUGAAGUGCCAGAUGUGGUGCACCUUACACAUCUAACAACCCUAGAAUCCAUCUACCAUCUUCGAAUAGGAUUUGCAUCGCUGGCCUCAAAGCCUCACGCCUCUAAGUGGUAUAUGUUGUUCAUGUGGCCCGUCACACUAUGGUCAAUAAUGCUUGCAUGGAUUUAUGAUUACACAUUUGUUGUUGAGAGAAACUUGUUCAAGAAUCUCAAAUUACAAACUUGGGCUAUUCCAAAGUAUCGCG